GGGUCGAUUCCCGAGCGGUCAAAGGGGGCAGACUGUAAAUCUGCUGGCUCAGCCUUCGUAGGUUCGAAUCCUACUCGGCCCACCA
Molecule: transfer RNA, 85 nt
Filed under: Candidatus Magasanikiibacteriota bacterium
Lineage: Bacteria; Candidatus Magasanikiibacteriota
Description: tRNA-Tyr
Rfam family: tRNA
About the family: Transfer RNA (tRNA) molecules are approximately 80 nucleotides in length.
Source: RNAcentral